Molecule: ribosomal RNA, 298 nt
Filed under: Desulfuromonadaceae bacterium
Lineage: Bacteria; Pseudomonadati; Thermodesulfobacteriota; Desulfuromonadia; Desulfuromonadales; Desulfuromonadaceae
Description: partial 23S ribosomal RNA
Rfam family: Bacterial large subunit ribosomal RNA
Source: RNAcentral
UCCCUAUCUGCUGUGGGCGUAGGAGAUUUGAGAGGAUCUGUCCCUAGUACGAGAGGACCGGGAUGGACGAACCGCUAGUGUUCCUGUUGUCACGCCAGUGGCAGUCGCAGGGUAGCUACGUUCGGAAAGGAUAACCGCUGAAAGCAUCUAAGCGGGAAGCCCACCUCAAGACUAGAUCUCCCUGGGAGCAAUCCCCUGAAGGUUCGUUGUAGACCACAACGUUGAUAGGCCGGCGGUGUAAGCACAGUAAUGUGUUCAGCUUACCGGUACUAAUUGACCGUGAGGCUUGACCAUAAAA